RNAcentral lists this ribosomal RNA (253 nucleotides) under uncultured soil bacterium. Its description in RNAcentral is "partial 16S ribosomal RNA". It matches the Rfam family "Bacterial small subunit ribosomal RNA", at positions 26 to 285 of the family's 1533-position model. The record is from RNAcentral.
AGAAUGAACGCUGGCGGCGUGCUUUACACAUGCAAGUUGAGCGAGGCCACCCGCAAGGGUGAGUCGAGCGGCGAACGGGUGAGUAACGCGUGGAUAACCUGCCCUUUAGUGGGGAAUAACCCGGGGAAACUCGGGCUAAUACCGCAUAAGACCGAGAGGUGAAAGCGGGGUCGCAAGAUCUCGUGCUAAUGGAGGGGUCCGCGUUCGAUUAGCUAGUUGGUAGGGUAAUGGCCUACCAAGGCGACGAUCGAUA